GGGAGAGGAGCCAGGGGUGGGUCCAAGUCUGGCUGACUCUGAAGUCCAAGCUUUCCUCCCUUCUCCAGGCUGUUAGCCACUGUGAAAAAACAUGCACAUCCCGGGUUGGGAAGACGGUUGAGAGAAGAAGAGAGUUGGGAGAACGAUUGUUAUUACUUGAGGAGAAGGACCCCAUCUAAUUCAUCUUUGUAAGCAAGCACUGGGCCUGAUGCAGUCAAUGUCUAUGGAAUGAAUGGAUGAGGCCGUCAUUGGAAUCAGUGGUCUCCAGACUUUUUGCUCCUGUGCUCCCUUAAAGAAUUUUUUUAAACUCUGUACCCUCUCUGUAUUUGUGAGGAUUCCAACAGGAAACAAAUGGACUCCCCAUUGGCCAAACCCAAGCCAUGGCCAGAAGACACAGAGCCAUUGAUAUACCCCAUCCACGUCAGCCAACUCAGGGAGAGGCAGAGAGGAGGAGGGUGGAGAAUGGAUCUGUGGGUCCCGUGCAGGAUAUCUGGCACAUUUUUAAAUUGACAACUAAAAUGUUCAUCUUAAACAUAAAUCACUGCAAAGGAUAUGUUUCCUAGCAUAUUGUAAACAUCAAUAUUUUAAAUAAAACUGUUCCAUCAUCAACUGAAUGUAAGUACCAUCAUGAUUUGAUACUCACUAUCAUUCAUUUCAAGAAAAUACUGGAACAAGCACUACUUUUAACAGGCAGAGAUGCUACGUCAUUAUUUCUUCUUGAAUGCAUAGCUACAUUUUGUUUCCUCUCACACAAUGUUAUCUGUGAUAUAUUUUGUGCUUGGAAGUCUGUUAUUGAUGACUUAAAUCAUACUUCA
Molecule: long non-coding RNA, 815 nt
Filed under: Equus caballus (horse)
Lineage: Eukaryota; Metazoa; Chordata; Mammalia; Perissodactyla; Equidae
Description: lncRNA (ENSECAG00000059564.1)
Source: RNAcentral